GGAUAAGAUGUUUAGGCCUGAUUUGCAGAAGAGUCAAACACCAGCACCUCCCAUUGACAAGGAGAUGGGACAGAGUGAGAAACAGAUCUUUGUGUUAAAAAAUAAAAAAUAAUAAAAUAAUAAAAUAAUAAUAAAAAGCUCCCUUCAGCGUUUAUUUUUCUACACAGACUUCAACAGGUUCCUAAGAAACAUUGGAAUGGAAAAAAAAUUCACUCUCAAAGACCUAGGGCACAGGGACCUGCAGUAAAUACUUGAAAAGCAUCAGCACUCUUCUUGGCAUGCACAGAAUGAAACUGAGAGCUAUGCCCAACAAUUCAUAUAAAUGGCUAACAGCCCAAGAAGAGAUCACCCACGACCUACAGGGAAGAUGUCCCAUGCAUAAUUGUCCUCCCAGAGGUGGAUUUGUACCACACGGAACCCAGAACAAUGGGGAACUCAUGAGGUGGCAUAAAACCGUUCUCAAAAUGUGUCUCUUCUCCCUUCCCCCAACACAGAAAAGCAAGAAGGAACUUGCAAUCUGUGUUGUUUGGAGUGAAGUGUGGUAAUUGCAUCUACUGGGAUAUAUGUCACACACCAGGUAUGUGCAGAUUAAGACAUUUUACCAGUUAUGUUGAUUUUAGUAUAGGAAUGACUAGUUUUUCAAAACUAGUACAAGAAUUUUACAAUAAGAGAAAAGGGAUUGUGGCCAAAUAAUAUUCACAAGAGCCUAGUAAAAUACCCCUAUCCGGAGAACUAGAAAAGUAUUUUAAUGCUGUUUGCUG
RNAcentral lists this long non-coding RNA (761 nucleotides) under Anas platyrhynchos platyrhynchos (common mallard). RNAcentral describes it as "lncRNA (ENSAPLG00000017748.1)". Lineage: Eukaryota; Metazoa; Chordata; Aves; Anseriformes; Anatidae. The record is from RNAcentral.